GGAUGUGGCUCAGCUUGGUAGAGCGCUGCGUUCGGGACGCAGAGGUCGCAGGUUCAAAUCCUGUCAUCC
This 69-nucleotide transfer RNA is filed under the name Senegalimassilia anaerobia. It matches the Rfam family "tRNA". Rfam says of the family: Transfer RNA (tRNA) molecules are approximately 80 nucleotides in length. Lineage: Bacteria; Bacillati; Actinomycetota; Coriobacteriia; Coriobacteriales; Coriobacteriaceae. The record is from RNAcentral. RNAcentral also lists the same sequence under 3 other names.